UACGUAGGGUGCGAGCGUCAAUCGGAAUUACUGGGCGUAAAGCGUGCGCAGGCGGUUCGUUGUGUCGGCGGUGAAAGCCCCGGGCUUAACCUGGGAAUGGCCGUUGAAACUGGCGAACUGGAGUGUGGCAGAGGGGGGUGGAAUUCCGCGUGUAGCAGUGAAAUGCGUAGAGAUGCGGAGGAACACCGAUGGCGAAGGCAGCCCCCUGGGCUAACACUGACGCUCAGGCACGAAAGCGUGGGGAGCAAACAGG
Molecule: ribosomal RNA, 253 nt
Filed under: uncultured bacterium
Lineage: Bacteria
Description: partial 16S ribosomal RNA
Rfam family: Bacterial small subunit ribosomal RNA
Source: RNAcentral